AGAGGGGUCUGAGCAAAGAGCGGGUUAGGCACAAAAGAGAAGAGAAGAGAAGAGAAGGGUUCGAAGAAGUAAAAUCGCAGGGGAAGAGAAGGGUUUGAGCACCGAAUACUAUUAAAAACAUUCACUCCUUGGCUUCUAAUGGCUGAUCAUAUAAUACUGUCGAAGGAGGAAAAUCGAGAAAGAGGGAGAAGUGAGAGGCUUCGAACGGUAAGGGUUUCAAAUGAUGUUCUCUCUCUCUCUCUUCACCCCACUCUCAUACUCUCUCUUAUAUGCCCUACCACACCACCAAUUUCUAGGGCUUAUAUAUCUCGUUGUGGUAAAUCGACCCAAUUAAGAGUUCUGAGAAGCCAUGGACAAAGAGACACCACUCGUUGCUGAACACUUGGAUUUUGAAACCCUAACCAAGAGCUGUCUUGUUGAUUUUCUUGGGUCAUGGUGUUGCUUAGAACUUUGAGAAUAUUAUCAAAACUGUGAGUUCUAACAUUGCUUGUUGUCAUUUUUGAAGUAAAUUUUUGAAGAAAAUUUUGUUUUCUGAAGAAAAAUUUGAUUUGAUUAAUGUUUUUUUUCUAGAGUUUAGUUGAUCAUUUUUAGCCUUUAAACUAUCGAUUUCAUCUAUUUAGUGUUCUACUUUCUAGAGUGUUCUAUUUCAUCUAUUUAUAUAUGUAUACAUACUCACAUAUGUUUGAUUGAGUUGGUUAGAAUUGAUACUGGUCUUGCCCCCAAUCCCUAAUUAAUGUGUUCAAUUUCAUGUGCAUAUAUGGUGCUUGGUUGCUAUAGACAACGUGUUUGACAAAAGUCCCAAGUGAGAUGAGAUUCCUCUUGCUUUGAUUCUCUUUUCUGACUAACCAAAUAGAGUAUUUUCCUCAUUUGAUUACUCUGGUUAAUUGUAUGUUACAAUUUUUAGCCUAAUUUGUACUCUCUUUUUUUUUAUCUGUUAAAAAUGGUUGAGAGGAAAAGUGAAAGAUGUUCCUUCUGGGGAUAGUUUGGUGGCAAUAGGGAGCACCAAGGCAGAAAUCCCCCCUGAGAAGACAAUCACUUUGUCAUCCCUUAUUGCUCCAAGAUUGGCCCGUAGAUGUGGUGUUGAUAAGCCAUUUGCAUGGGAAAGUAGAGAGUAUUUAAGGAAACUGUGUAUAGGAAAGGAUGUCACAUUCAAAGUGGAUUAUAUUGUACCAUCUAUUGGGCAAGAGUUUGGCUUUGUUUUCCUUGGUGAUAAGAAUGUUGCAUUGAUGGUUGGGUAAAGGUGCAGGUUAAGGAGCAGGGUCAACAGAAAGGAGAUGCUAGUCCUUUCUUAGCAGAACUGCUACGUCUUGAAGAGCCAGCCAAGCAACAAGGGCUAGGACGUUGGACCAGGGUUGUGCAGAUGGUUUGGCUGGGUAUGAUCUAGGUAGCCCAGUCAAUUUUCAGCAAAUUCUUCUUGGUUUUAUCAGAGAGUGAUGGUGCUGUAUGGAAGCCAGGCUGCAACUCUGCACCAGUUCCAAUUCUAGUUCUUUGUGCCUUGGGUCAAUCCGUUGUUCUAUUUAUUUUCUUUCCUCCUCUCAAUGUUUUGUGAUUUUGGAAAUUUUCUUUUUAUUUCAAUUGUGUAUCAGUGUUACUGUCCCUUCUUCUACAGGUUGUAUAGGAGAUCUGUUCUUUGGGUAGUUGUCGGUUAUGGUGUCCCCAUGAAGCUUGUUGUUUUGCUGUAACCAGAUAGUGAUAUAUGUUAUGAUCCUGAAGGCCUUGGUACAAAGCUAUUGCAGCUACUCAUACAUAUGGAGGCUUUUUAGUUUGUCUACAGGUCUUUGUGUCGCCACUGCUUAUUGGUUGUGAUGAAGUAAUGCCUUGGCUCAGUUGUUUGGAAUUAGUGGGUUUUGCUUUCCUGGUUUCCUCUGUUUGCUGAUAUGGGCCCUUUUGUUCUUGUUCUACCUCCAUAUUUUCUUUUAGAUAUGGAUGUUGAACAGGUUGUUUGGCCCCUUUGCUUUUUCUGUCUUCUAGGUCUUUAGCUUGGUUGUAGUUUUUGUUAGUUUGGUUUUAUUGUAUAGCUAUGGUAGGGCCUGGGGUAUGCCCCUUGGAAUCCUAUAUAUUUUCCUAUUUUAUUUUAUGACUUAUUCACCCAAAAAAAAAAUUGUAUAUUUUGGUG
Molecule: non-coding RNA, 2116 nt
Organism: Camellia sinensis
Lineage: Eukaryota; Viridiplantae; Streptophyta; Magnoliopsida; Ericales; Theaceae
Source: RefSeq, a predicted model, not a curated record